AAUUAUGUGAUAAAGGAAGGGGCAAAUAUGUAAUAAGUGAGGAGUCCUUAUUCUAUAAAAUGACUCCUCACCCUCACAAUUGAAGGAGGCCAAUUCCUAGACCCUUUCACCCCUUCUCAAAGCUCUCACUCUCAGAGCUCUCUCUCCCUCACCUCUCAGAUAAAUACAUAAUCAGUGUGGACGUAGCCCAAACCUUGGGGUGAACCACGAUACAUCUUGUGUUAUUUACAUUACUUGCAGAUUCACGGUCGGAUUUACGUUGUUCCAAGACCUCCGGUUUUGUACAUCAACAUUUGGCGCCGUCUGUGGGAAACAACACGAAAAGCUAUGUUGGCUCUCUUUCAUUUUUCCAUCCCACCACCAUGAAAACUUCACAACCUCCACCGUGAAUCUGCGCAACCCAAAAACCCAAAACCUCACUCUUUGUCUUUUCUAGAAAACCUUUGCAUGCUCUCUCUCUCUCCGGAGUCUCACCAACAAUGGCGGCAAGCAGCACAUUCUUUCUCUUUCUUGUAGUUUCUGUUCUUGUCGUCUCUGCUUCAGUUGGUACCCAAACUUUCAUAUUUCUGAAAGGUCAGGGAUGACAAAGAUGUACCCAAACAGUGCAAAUGCCAAUAUCGUCCAUUUUUACGAGCCUCGGAGGCUCAACAAUUAUGGCUUCGACGACGAAACCACAACGGUCAUCAUGAUGUGGAAGAAGUCUGUGCUGCUCAACUACAAUGGGUUCACAGUGUUCAACCCCAAGAACCCCUACUGGUUCAACAGUGACCGGUUCGUGUUGUCUGCUGGACACGGUUGUAUGUUGCAGUAUGCUCUGCUCCACCUUGCUUGAUACGACAGUGUCAAGACAUGGACACGUCACGCGUUGUGUACAAGAUCGAUAAGAAUCACCUGGGGUCUGACGUGGCAGACGAAACAGCCGCUGCUCUCGCCGCUGCUUCUAUCGUGCCGUUAAGAUGUUCGAGGUUACUGACGUGGUUUCUAUCAUCGUUGCUCUCGCUGCUACUUCUAUCAAUAAGGCACCUGCAGUUGGUGCAUCAGGAGCAGUCUUCGGAUUAGUUGGAUCUCUUGCUGUGUUUGUCAUGAGACAUAAAGGUUUGGUUGGACGUGGUAAAGAAGAUCUACAGUAGAUAGCACACUUGAUUGUCCUAAAUAUGGUUAUUGGUUUCUUCUUCAAAGGCAUUGAUAACUGGGGACAUGAACGACUACUUUGGUUAAACAGUCCACAAACUAACAACGGUCUACAUCACUCCUCAGUCUAUCCUGUCUCAGUUACUUUGGUUCAACAAGUUCCUGGAAAGUAAAGGUGAUACAAUUCAGAAGCUUGGGGUCAGUAGGGUUACUAGCUUUCUGCAGGACUGCAGGAGGUCUCAGAUGAACUUGUUGUUAUUCUGAUGAUUGAGGCGCCCUCCCAGGGCAGUAAGGAGGGUCGGCUUCCCACUUCUAGAUAGCCUUAACAUGGCUAGCAGAAGAUAAGACUUUAUUGUUUUCUUUAUGAUUAUUCCUCAAUUAUUUUAUGAAUGGUGCUCCACUUUCCCCAAAAAGCAACGGGAAAAGCCACGGGAAUAAGAAGAUAAGAGUCCCACAGCAGCACUAGUAUUGCAAAGCGUCUGAUCUUCUAACAGUAAUGUGGAGCUUGCCGUCCUCAAUAUUAAAAAAAAAAUGAAAAGCAAUAAAGAAGAUGCCCCCAUUUUCUGAGAAAGCAAAAGGGAAAAGAGAAAAGCAAAAGAAAAAGCAAAAGUAAGGAAUAAACACCCCACCAGAAUGAUGUGGUUUACUUUUCUUGUUUUUGUAUGAUUUAAUUUAUUUUUCGUUUCUUUUGGAAACAUCUGUAUAAACCCCAUCAGUGGGUAAUAAUAAUAAUACCAAAAAAAAAACAACAAAGCCCAAAAUAAAUGGGCUGGAAUGUUAUGUAGAGGGCGAAGGCCCAUAAGCCCAAAAUAGCCACUAACCAGGUGAUCAAAAGUACGCCUAGUACUCUACAAUUAUUCGGCAACCCGCCACUAUUACUACCAACCAGAUGAUGAAAUGUACAUCCCGUACUCUAAUAUCAUUUGGCAACUAGCCAUUCAUGCCACCAACCAGGUGAUGAAAUAUACAACCCGUACUCUCCUUCAUGCCACCAACCAAGUGAUCAAAAGUACGCCCAGUACUCCAAAUUAUACAUGAGCAUUACUCAUGUCAUUCAUAUAUAAAUAUUCAUGAGCAUCACUCAUGACAAUCAUACAUAAACAUUCAUGACCAUCAUUCAUGUCAACAUUCAUGACCAUCAUUCAUGUCAACAUUCAUGAGCAUCACUCAUGUUAACAUUCAUGAACAUCACUCAUGACAACAUCCAUGAGCAUCACUCAUGUCAAUCAACAUAAACAUUCAUGAGCAUCACUCAUGACAAUCAACUUCAAAAGCUUCAUUUACAGAGCUCUAGCUUCAAAGCUUCACUUGCAAAGCUUCACCUACAAAGCUUCAGUGCAAGGUAUACAAAUACCGCCUCUGAACAACCGCCACUUCGGCCCAUACAUGGAUUCAAUUUGAAGUCUCCAGCCAACAGACUCUAUUGAUCGAAGACUUAGGGGACUACAUUAUGUACCAUAUAUUGGGCCUCAACUGGGCCUCAUGAAAAAUACUCGGGGGACUUAGCCCAUUAUUUAUGUAUUAAGGAGCGAGCCCUUAUUCUAUAAAAGGGAUUUCCUCACUUUCAUUAUAGAGCACCCAUUAUUCAUGUACUGAGGAACGAGCCCUUAUUUUAUAAAAGGGACUCCCUCACCAUUAUUAGAGAACAUCGCCGCCAACUGAGCAAUCGUCUCGUCGCGAGCAUUACUCCUAACCCAUCACUUAUGUACUGAGGAGCGAGCCCUUAUUUUAUAAAAGAGACUCAUUCACCACCAUUAAAGAGCAUCGCCGCCUACUGAGCAACCGCCUCGCCGCGAGAAUCAACUCUAGCCCAUCAUUUUAUGUAUUGAGAAGCGAGCCCUUAUUCUAUAAAAGGGACCUCAUCACCUUCAAGUGCCACAAGCCGAGCCAACCAAGGCAACAUAAGCCACGAGCCGAGCAGCCGAGCAGCAUGUGCUACUUGUAGUUGAGCAUCAUUUCAGAUUGAGCACCGCCUCAUAUCGAACAUCAGUUUAAGACAACAUCUAGUUACUUCGGCCCACACAUGGAUUGAAUUUCAAGUCUCCAGCCAAAAGACUUUCUUGACUGAAGACUUGGGGGACUACUGUUUAUACCAUAUUUAAGGCCUCGUAUUUAGAUCUCGUACAAAUACUCGGGGGACUUAAAUGUAAUUAUGUGAUAAAGAAAUGGGCAAAUAUGUAAUAAGUGAGGAGUCCUUAUUCUAUAAAAGGACUCAUCACCCUCAUAAUUGAAGGAGGCCAAUUCCUAGGCCCUCUCACCCCCUCUUAAAGCUCUCACUCUCAGAGCUAUCUCUCCCUCACCUCUCAGAUAAAUACAUAAUCAGUGUGGACGUAUCCCAAACCUUGGGGUGAACCACGAUACAUCUUGUGUUAUUUACAUUACUUGCAGAUUCACGAUCGGAUUUACGUUGUUCCAAGAUCUCCGGUUUUGUGCAUCAACAAAGUUAGCCAUUUAGGCUUUCCAUAAUAAGCCGAUAUUGAACUUAUACAAGAAUCACACUCCUAUAGUGCCCUGAAAAGUUGAAUGUGUUACUAGUAAAUUAAACAUAUGAGUUCAAUAUAUUAAACUCAUGAGCGUGAUGAUAUCACAUUAGUGUUGCAGCAGUACUACUACAUAUGAUCUAGUGAUAUUGUUUCCAUUUGUAAGUAGGAGGUCUUAAAUUCAACUCUUGUGGAUGGCAAGUUUGACACCAGAUUAUGAUUGGCUUAUUGUGCAGCGACUUCUCUCACGUUGUAUUAAGAAACAAAUAGGUAAAACCUGAAUAAGGGUGGGUUGAUUGGUUAUUAAACGUCGUCUUAAUUAAAAGAAAAAUCGAGACCUAAACAAAAAGUAAAUUUCUUUGACAAAAAAAAAAAAGUAAAUUUUAAGAAGCCGGGAAAAUUCCCACCAACGAAAUCAAGUUUGUCGACUAAGAACUUCUCUACCUUCAAAAUAUUUCGUAGGCAAUAACCUAAGUUGUUGGGAAAAAAAUGUGCGCCAAAAGCCGCAAUAUGCGUGUUUACUUGCAAAAAUUUCGACAGGCGAAAGCUCUUGUGCCAACAAAAUUUUACUUUAUUGGCAUAGAAUUUGUCAGCAAAAUGAUAUUUAAUCCAGGUUGGGAAGGGAAAGUCAGCAUUAAAUACUUGACUUGCUGGGCUUAAAUUGCAUUUAAUGCAAGAAUCUAGUUUUAUCCUAACUAAGGGAGUUGGCUUGUUAGAGAAAGGGGUAAACUAGGCUAAUUCUGUCUCAUUGAUGCCUGCAUGAAAUACAAAGGGUAUGAGCUUGGAUCUUUGGGCACCAAGCAGCCCAAAGUCUUCCAUGAUCCCGAUUCCACAUAGGCCCGAUAACCUUCUGUAACCAUCCACACCACAAUUCACUUGACAAACCCCGAUGUGAAUUGGGCUUAGCAUGAAUAGUGACUAAGGAAGCAUGGUGUGAUGAAUAGGUAUGAGCAUGACGUGAAUAUCCAGCUAAAUCACUGUGGCAUGGCAUGUUUGUAAAUAUAUUCCUCGUCGCUCCCGUGCCUUGGAAUGUAUUUGGGCUUGAAUGUAGGCUUUGCAUGACAAUUGGGCCUUAAGACUUAGUUGGAUUGGUGUGUGAUAUUUUUGGGCCCCAACAACACCAAAUUAUGAUUGGCUCAUUGUGCACCGAAUUCUCUCACGUUGUAUUAAGAAAGAAAAAAGAAGGUAAAACUGAAUAAGGGUUGAUUGGUUAUCAAACGUUAUUUUAAUUAGAAGAAAAAUCGAGACCUAAACAAAAAGUAAAUUUCUUUUACAGAAAAAAUAAACAAAAUGUAAAUUUUAAGAAGCCAGAAAAAUUCCCACCAACGAAAUCAAGUUUGUCGACUAAGAACUUCUCUACCUUCAAAAGAUUUCGUAGGCAAUAACCUAAGUUGUUGGGAAAAAUGUGCGCCGAAAUCUUAGCUGUAGUAUGUGUGUUUACUCGACAAAGCAAAAAUUUCGUUAGGUGAAAGCUCUUAUGCCGACAAAAUUUUACUUUAUCGGCUUAGAAUUUGUCAGGAAAAUGAUAUUUUUUAGUAUUGAAAGUAUACUUUAACGCAUUGUUUACCAUAAGUGAUGGGUUUAUAGUUUUGAUUUAUUGGUAAUUCACUUACUAUUAGCCUAUCAUGCACACUCAAAGCUAAAAUAUAUAUAAACCUCCCCUCCAUAUUCUCUUGUACAAAGAAACUGAAACCAAAAAAAAAAAAAAAAACAUCCAUCAAUGUUAGUUGAUUUCUCUUGAUCCCAUUUAGUAGUAGUUUCUCAAUAAAAAAACAUGAAGUGUAUGGUUUUAUGUAAAUGAAAAACAUGAACUGGAUCGUUUUAUGUAAAUGAAGUUAAUACAAAACUCUUAAGGAUUUUAGUUUACUUUUUUAUAUUCUUGGCAAAAAGAAAAUAACUUUAAAGUUCAAAGCUUCUAGCGCAACCAGUGCAUAAAGUAUUUAACACUAUAUCAUUGCGAGUAAAACACAAAAACUUUCACUUAUCAUAAAGCACAUUCAACAUUAUAUCUAAUGCAAUCAUUACAUAAACGGUGUGUUUGUUGCACCGGAUUAUCUCGGACUGGACUAGUUUCCGGGACUAAAUUGGACUGACUUGGCUUGGACUAAACUGGAUAAAGAUAGUGAAGUAUUUGGUGUAGUGCCGGACUAAACUAUAGACUAAAUUAUUUUUAGGAUUCAAAUUAUUUUUUUUAUCAUUUUUAAUUUACUUUUUCCUUGAAAAACAAUAAACAAACAAAUUUUAUAUUAUGAAAUAUAAUUUAGUAGUUAUUUAAUUUUUAUAAGCCUAAUUAAUGCUUCACCUAAAAGUUUGUCAAUUACUUUUUAGACGAUGAGAACCCAGAUAAUUUGCAAAGCUCUCUCUCUCUGCCUCUUCGUAAUCUUCCUCUUGCCCUCUUUGCUUCCUAAUAAAUCCAUUGCAAUUCUUAAAAUCAAACCAAAGAGCAAGAAAGAGAAUGAAAAUUUAGGAGUCAAGGUGGGGUGCAUGUGAUUGGCUCGAAGGUGGGAGAUGGGGGUUGAAUCUGGUUUCGAUUUUUGGGUUUUCUCAGUUUGUAGCUUUUUUGGGUUUUCUGGGUUUCUGACUUUUUUGGAUUUUCUGGGUUCAAAUUUUGGGAGUUGAAUCUGGUUUUGAAAAGGAAUAGGCUGCAAAAUUCCACGAAAUGGGUUUACAAAACUCCACGGAAUGGCUUUCACAAAUAAUGAGUUUCUGAGAGAAAAUGAGUUUUCUGGGAAGAAAAAAAAAUAGGAGUCAACAUAUACAAAGUGGAGAACUUGCAAAUGGGUGAACAGGGGAGGGGCAAAGCAGAGGUGAUCUUAGCAAUCCGCCCAAUUUUCGAGGCGGCACCGGGGGGGGGGGGAGGCAGCCUCGCUAAGACAGCCUAGUGAGGCGCUUAGUCUAGGCAAGUCCCAUUUAGUCUCAUUAAACCUAUUCCUCCCUGUAAACAAACAUGGGAUUUCACUGACUAGUAAUCCUAGCCAGUCCAGUGAAACUUAAGGAGGCCAAACAAACACGCCAGUAUUCAACUUGAGUUAUACUUGAGUAAAUCAAACCCUACACUUAUCACAAAAAUAAAAAUUAAAUGUGUCCUAAAAGACGAAUUAUCAUGAGAAAAGUGUAAUUCAAAGGAAGGUCAGAAAAUUUCUCAUCCAAUGCAACCAAAUGUGAUUGUGUGUUUAGGGGACCUGAAAGAAUCUCUUAGUAUUACAAUCUUUAAUUUGAUAUGAUUGGGGGUGGUUUGUUUUGUUUAGGGGACCUAAGAGAAUCUCUUAGCAUUAAAAUCUUUAAUUUGAUUUGAUACGUUUCCUUCAAUUCAAAGUAAAAGUUUUCCUAGAGUAAAAAAUAAUGCUUGGUAGGUUAAAUUAUCGAAUUUGUCAUUCAUAAGAAAUAGAGUGGUAUUAACUUAUAAUUACCACUAGAGAUAUUUAAAAAAUUUGAAAUCAAUAAUUGCUACAAAGAAUAAGAAUAGUCAAGAAAAAGUAACAUUUGUUUUUCUCUUUUUUUUUUAUUUAAGAAAAUUGGAUUAUUUGUUCUCGAAUGAUUACUUAACUUAGAUUUGGUCAAUUAACCAAAAAUUCAUCAAAUUGAAAUUUGAUUUCGACAAAAUGUGAAGCAUCAAUCUAUCUAUUACAACGUUGUGUAUUAUUUAAGAAAACGAGAGUCGUAUUCUCAGUAGUUAAAUAACCUUUUGAACCUUCUAAAGGUCAUUGAUUUUAAAUUUUUUAUCAAAUAAUGGUAUUGCUAAACUGAGUAAAACAAUAUUUAAAAAAAAAAAUAAAUUAAUAAUACCAAACAGGAUGAAACUCAUUUUUUGAAGAAACUCACUCACAAAUAUUAUGGUCUGUUUUU
This 7457-nucleotide long non-coding RNA is filed under the name Malus domestica (apple). Its description in RNAcentral is "long non-coding RNA (MDOM_LNC016679)". The record is from RNAcentral. Lineage: Eukaryota; Viridiplantae; Streptophyta; Magnoliopsida; Rosales; Rosaceae.